UACGGAGGAUGCGAGCGUUAUCCGGAUUUACUGGGUUUAAAGGGUGCGUAGGCGGACGCUUAAGUCAGCGGUAAAAUUGCGGGGCUCAACCUCGUCGAGCCGUUGAAACUGGGUGCCUUGAGUGGGCGAGAAGUACGCGGAAUGCGUGGUGUAGCGGUGAAAUGCAUAGAUAUCACGCAGAACUCCGAUUGCGAAGGCAGCGUACCGGCGCCCUACUGACGCUGAAGCACGAAGGCGUGGGUAUCGAACAGG
RNAcentral lists this ribosomal RNA (252 nucleotides) under uncultured bacterium. Its description in RNAcentral is "partial 16S ribosomal RNA". It matches the Rfam family "Bacterial small subunit ribosomal RNA", at positions 524 to 776 of the family's 1533-position model. The record is from RNAcentral.